This 76-nucleotide transfer RNA is filed under the name Shigella flexneri. RNAcentral's name for it is "tRNA-Thr". It matches the Rfam family "tRNA". Rfam says of the family: Transfer RNA (tRNA) molecules are approximately 80 nucleotides in length. RNAcentral also lists the same sequence under 4 other names. Lineage: Bacteria; Pseudomonadati; Pseudomonadota; Gammaproteobacteria; Enterobacterales; Enterobacteriaceae. The record is from RNAcentral.
GCCUCUAUAGCUCAGUUGGUAGAGCAAUCGCCUUGUAAGCGAUAGGUCUUCGGUUCGAAUCCGAAUGGGGGCACCA